UGAAAGUAGAGGGACCCGGCAAGGAGCUAGCCGAGGUGCUGCAUGGUUGUCGUCAGCUCGUGUCGUGAGAUGUUGGGUUAAGUCCCGCAACGAGCGCAACCCCCUGUCCUGUGUUGCUACUCCGCAAGGAGAGGACUCUCAGGAGACUGCCGUGGAUAACACGGAGGAAGGUGGGAUGACGUCAAAUCAUCAUGGCCUUUAUGUCCAGGGCUACACACGUGAUACAAUGGUACAGACAGAGGGCUGCAAGACCGUAAGGUGGAGCCAAUCCCUAAACUGUAUCCCAGUUCAGAUCGAGGGCUGCAAUUCGCCCUCGUGAAGUUGGAAUCGCUAGUAAUCGCAGAUCAGCAGGCUGCGGUGAAUACGUUCCCGGGCCUU
RNAcentral lists this ribosomal RNA (378 nucleotides) under uncultured bacterium. RNAcentral's name for it is "bacterial SSU rRNA". It matches the Rfam family "Bacterial small subunit ribosomal RNA", at positions 1002 to 1382 of the family's 1533-position model. The record is from RNAcentral.